Long non-coding RNA from Heterocephalus glaber (naked mole-rat), 3285 nucleotides. NCBI's taxonomy places the organism in Eukaryota, Metazoa, Chordata, Mammalia, Rodentia, Bathyergidae. The record is from Ensembl.
CAGCUCCUGGAAGAGGACAAGUAGGGGGGGGCUUUGGGGGCCAGGAAGAUGAAUUGUUCACCCUGAGCCAGAGGAGCUGCACGACACGCAGGUGGAUAGCAUCAGGCAUGGUCACGAGGCCCCUACCACCUCUGUCCCCAGUAGAGAUCUUAACCUUGGGGGGUCUCCCUCCCCUCCCCUCAUGUUAAUUCCCUGCACAGUGCCCACCACUGGGAAACAUUUCCUGUCGGUCCCUUCACUUUAUUUAGGCCCUUCUAAGCAAGGGCCUGUCCCUGUCUGGUCCUUGCUGUCACUGACUGUUUUCUCCAGGCUGGGGCUUUCCUUUCCAUUCCUCUCCUAUGCCUGUUUCCCUUGUGUCAACUUUCCCAGAAUAGGGCAUAAGCGACUUCCAGUUGGCAACAUCAGGGGCCCUGGCCAGCCCCAAACCUCUUUACUGGGCUGUUCCCGAGGUAUCGCUCUGGAAAUGCCCCAUGCCUGGCCUUCCCAGGUGGGUCGCCCUCACUGCCACCCCCCUCGUCCCCAGUGCUCCUCAGUCAGGGGUUCCCCUCUCCUGCUGAGGGCACUGUGGUGCGCAGCCAAUCGGGGUCCUUCCUGUGAAGGGAGGAGCUGUCCACUAACACUAAGCUUCCUGCCUGCCAGACAUCUGGAAGGCCAUUAGCUCCAACAGCAAGGUGGCACACCUGCAAGGCCCUGCAGGAGAGUGUGCCACCCCCGGGGCAGGCUGCACGGGAACGGGCAAGCCUAGCUGUGGCCUCAGUUGAGCUCUAAGCGGGGUCCACUGAAGCAGCACCCAUAUCUUCCCCAGCUGGAUCCCCCAACUGCCCACAUUGGGCCCCUGACCAUACCCCUCCCCUGGCCCCUCUCCCUCUGCCCCAGGUGCCACCAUUCCAGCCUGCCUAGGCCCUGGCCAGGACACAUUACCCUUACAAACACAGGCCUCAUGGGCUCCUAGGGGAAAAUGCUCUUUUGUCUUUUGUAUUUCACUUCUUAUCAGAGGAGAAAUCAUCCCAAAAAGGAUACAGAUGCAAGGGGCUCUUCCCAAAGAGGCCUGGCCUGGGCGGCUGGGGGUGUGGCCUGGCUUGGGGCCUGGGAAAGGGGGUAGAGGCCUGUGUCUAGAGCCCUGUUCUGUCUCACGGGGAACGGUGAGAUCUGAUCAUUCUGGGCCACUUGAUCUCCCCCGGAGGGUCAGGGUUCCUCUAUUGUAAUGGGGCCCUAACUUAAAGCCCCUGAAGUGAGCUGGCCUGAGAUUUUAUAGGUCUCCAAGAAGGAAUGAUGGCAGAAGGGCAGACAGCACCCAUCCUGCCACUGGGAACCUUCCUGGGGCAAUGCCAGGCCACUGGCAGCUCCCCCCAUUCUCCCCAUGCUCCUCCCUCAGACCCCCCAUUGUCCAUGAAACCCAAGCUCUCGGCCUCCUGUAUCCAGCAAUGACUGACCCCAUCCCCCUGGCUGCCAGGGCACCCUCUGCACCUGCAAAGCUGGGAACGACUAGAGCAGGUGUGAGGGACCUCGCAGGCCCUCUCCACAGGGAGAUAGGGCUGCCUUCUCACACAUCCCUAUGGCCAACCUCCCUGACAUGGAGGAGGGAGGGAAGGCGUGAGGUACACAGAGAUGAAGGGAGUGGGGAGGUGGCACUUGUGGGCCUGAUGCCCAGAAAGACGGGAGGUGGGUGGGGGGGUCGGGGCUGUGUUUUUGGUGGCACCUGUUUUGGGUCUUUUCAUGAGCUGGCCCCUCCCUGGGUUUUCAAGAGCUGCUCAGAUCACAACAGGGGGAAUUGGGAGGGAGUGUGGGGAAACUGGACAGAACUGGCACAUACACGACAGAUGUUUGCUCAGAGAAAAAUACAGUAAGAUCAUCAUGCAAAUAUAACGGAAAGUCUGCUUCUCACGCCACUGGCUUCCCAGCCUGCAUGUCUCCAUUUUGCCACCUGGGUGUGGGGAGGGGUCGAGGGCCAAGUCUGGGGGUUGGGGAGGUCUGCCUGCACAUCCAUGCCAGCCCAACUCCUCUGCUCCCAGGAACAGUCCCCUCCUUUGCAAAUGUCACCCCCUAGAGCGAGCCCUGGGCUCAGCCAAACCCAAGUUGAUGUGACAGAGGUGUUCAGUGGAGACCCCCAGCCCUCCUCCCAACCCCCCACUCCAGCACUAGGGGCCAGUGGCUCCCCCAGGGAUGGCACUAGCUUUCCUGGUCAGAGCCCCCUGCCCACAGUACGGGUCUCAGUCCCACCCCAGCAUCUACCCUCACCCCACAGUCUCAGUCCUGUCUGGAGAAGCCCAAGAGGGUGACAGGCCAGGAGCUGGGGAUCCCGGCAGGGACGUGGGGAAGCACAGAAGGCUCCCCCAUCCCGAGGUGGGUAGGGCGCUGGGGGCACAUCGGCAGGUGGGCAAAGCCGCCCGUAGAAUCACCCCCCACACACACACCUCCUACACAGGGGAAGGGACCAUAUCUCAGCCCCCAACCUGCUGACUGCUCAAGACCCCAAAAUUGCUCCUCGCUGGAACUUGUCCGCAGAAACCCCCGCUCUUGAGAAAGGCAGCCACAGCCCAGCCCUGCCCUCUGUCACCGCCCUCCGCUGCCGCCCACACUGAGAGAACCCCAGAGCCCAACGGUUGGUGGCUCUGAGACCAACUGCCAGGCACCGGGUUGCCAUGGAGACUGGGCCAGCUAGGGAGGGAGGGGAGCCCUCAAACUCAGCCUGCUCCCCCACCCCAGGGCAAUGAGGGGACCUCACUGUUUGUGCUUUGUUCGAUGUUGGGUAGGGGUCAGAGGGAAAGUGGCCGUUUCCAUGGAAACAUGGGAGCCCCUCUGGCCAGGAGAGCAGGAACCGGGCCCCUUCCGGCCCCCGUCGAUGUGGGAAGAAGUAAAGUGAUUCACGCUGUCCAUCUCCAAGGCACAGAGGGUGACCCAAGGAUCACAGCCCACAGACCACUUGAGCCAACCUUCACUUCCCAAGUAGGGAAAACUGAGUCCCGGGCCAGAGGAGGGCCAGUUGGGCUGUUAUGAGGCGGCAGGUGGCAGACACUAUCACUGUCCUUGGCCAGGCCACACAAAGCUUUCAAGGCUGGACAGACAUUGGCUCUGGGAUGGCAUGGCUCACAAGGUGCACUGAGCUCCAGCUGCAAGGCAGAGGGGGAAAAAGCAUUGAGACUGGAGGCAAAAGAUCCUAGGUUUGAAUGCUAAGCUGUAUGACACUGCCACAUUAGCUAACCUCUCUGGGCUUCGGUCUCUUCACCUGGAAGAUAAAGAGCAAGCAGGCAGUGGCCACACCAUGUUCAGGGACACGAAGAGCAG